Molecule: ribosomal RNA, 1207 nt
Filed under: Bacillus amyloliquefaciens
Lineage: Bacteria; Bacillati; Bacillota; Bacilli; Caryophanales; Bacillaceae
Description: bacterial SSU rRNA
Rfam family: Bacterial small subunit ribosomal RNA
Source: RNAcentral
CCGGGGCUAAUACCGGAUGGUUGUCUGAACCGCAUGGUUCAGACAUAAAAGGUGGCUUCGGCUACCACUUACAGAUGGACCCGCGGCGCAUUAGCUAGUUGGUGAGGUAACGGCUCACCAAGGCGACGAUGCGUAGCCGACCUGAGAGGGUGAUCGGCCACACUGGGACUGAGACACGGCCCAGACUCCUACGGGAGGCAGCAGUAGGGAAUCUUCCGCAAUGGACGAAAGUCUGACGGAGCAACGCCGCGUGAGUGAUGAAGGUUUUCGGAUCGUAAAGCUCUGUUGUUAGGGAAGAACAAGUGCCGUUCAAAUAGGGCGGCACCUUGACGGUACCUAACCAGAAAGCCACGGCUAACUACGUGCCAGCAGCCGCGGUAAUACGUAGGUGGCAAGCGUUGUCCGGAAUUAUUGGGCGUAAAGGGCUCGCAGGCGGUUUCUUAAGUCUGAUGUGAAAGCCCCCGGCUCAACCGGGGAGGGUCAUUGGAAACUGGGGAACUUGAGUGCAGAAGAGGAGAGUGGAAUUCCACGUGUAGCGGUGAAAUGCGUAGAGAUGUGGAGGAACACCAGUGGCGAAGGCGACUCUCUGGUCUGUAACUGACGCUGAGGAGCGAAAGCGUGGGGAGCGAACAGGAUUAGAUACCCUGGUAGUCCACGCCGUAAACGAUGAGUGCUAAGUGUUAGGGGGUUUCCGCCCCUUAGUGCUGCAGCUAACGCAUUAAGCACUCCGCCUGGGGAGUACGGUCGCAAGACUGAAACUCAAAGGAAUUGACGGGGGCCCGCACAAGCGGUGGAGCAUGUGGUUUAAUUCGAAGCAACGCGAAGAACCUUACCAGGUCUUGACAUCCUCUGACAAUCCUAGAGAUAGGACGUCCCCUUCGGGGGCAGAGUGACAGGUGGUGCAUGGUUGUCGUCAGCUCGUGUCGUGAGAUGUUGGGUUAAGUCCCGCAACGAGCGCAACCCUUGAUCUUAGUUGCCAGCAUUCAGUUGGGCACUCUAAGGUGACUGCCGGUGACAAACCGGAGGAAGGUGGGGAUGACGUCAAAUCAUCAUGCCCCUUAUGACCUGGGCUACACACGUGCUACAAUGGACAGAACAAAGGGCAGCGAAACCGCGAGGUUAAGCCAAUCCCACAAAUCUGUUCUCAGUUCGGAUCGCAGUCUGCAACUCGACUGCGUGAAGCUGGAAUCGCUAGUAAUCGCGGAUC